UACGUAGGGUGCAAGCGUUAAUCGGAAUUACUGGGCGUAAAGCGCGUGUAGGUGGUAGGCCAAGUCUGCUGUGAAAUCGCCCGGCUCAACUGGGCGCGGUCGGUGGAAACUGGUCAACUGGAGGACGGUAGAGGCGAGUGGAAUUCCCGGUGUAGUGGUGAAAUGCGUAGAGAUCGGGAGGAACACCAGUGGCGAAGGCGGCUCGCUGGGCCGGUCCUGACGCUGAGGAGCGAAAGCGUGGGGAGCGAACAGG
Molecule: ribosomal RNA, 253 nt
Filed under: uncultured bacterium
Lineage: Bacteria
Description: partial 16S ribosomal RNA
Rfam family: Bacterial small subunit ribosomal RNA
Source: RNAcentral